UACUUAAAAAGUUUUUAGUUAUUAAAAAGUUUUUUAUUAUUAUUCGCUGAUCUUUGCAGUGCGACCUUUUUCCUGUUUUGUGGCUUUACUACUUAUAGCUAAUUUUUCAGUCCUUGUCAGAAUGCCGAAAUUAUUAUACCAUCCAUUUUGAAACGAUCAAUAUUUUGGUUAAUGAAGCAAGGAUCAAGGAUUCAGAAAGUAAAGCUGCUUCCAUUUCCUAGCCAGUUCGUUCGGCAGGUUGCGGCUUUGGAUACCAAUAUAAGGGGUUGUGCUGGUAUCCAUGGCCACAGUUUUACUUUAUUUACCUUUCAUACCUUAUUUGGGGUUCUCAUGUAAUGAAUGUUUAGAUAUUUCGUGCAUUUAGACGAAAAAUAUAACACUUUUUCCAGUCCUGUCCAUGCGUAAAAA
Non-coding RNA from Drosophila virilis, 408 nucleotides. NCBI's taxonomy places the organism in Eukaryota, Metazoa, Arthropoda, Insecta, Diptera, Drosophilidae. The record is from RefSeq and is a predicted model, not a curated record.